UCUGACUUCAAAGUCGUACUCAUUUCUGGAGCUUGGAUUGGUUCAUGUGCCAUCUCCACAAUCAGUCCCAUUUCACAGCCUUUACAAAGACAGGGGCAGGCUUUGGCGCUGACCUCAGGCCAGACUGUCUCAAGUCAGAAGGCUUUCCUGUACCUUCAGUCACCCCCAAAAUCCCCCAGGACCUAUAGUACAAUGAUUUUUCCAUAGAGCCCACAGUUGAGGCUAGAGAAAACCACCGCUCAGCACUGAACCUGUUGGAAUUUGGGGAAAAAAAUGUCAGCUUGUAAUGAGCGGAGACAGAUCUACUGACCGAUGGACUAGUAGUUGCCCAAACCCUUUCCUUUUCCUUCCUGGGACUGGCCUGCAGUUCCCGCCUCCCUGGAGUUUAGCGUGGUCACGUGACUGCGGUCUAGCCCACGGGACGUGGCGGGGUUAAAGGCCAACACUUCCAGUCGCCCUGCUCUUUCUCCUGUUGUGAAGCUCCCUGUUGACGAUGCAGAGUCAGGGAUGGAAGCCGUUGUGGUCCCCAAAUGUCCUCGUGGGAGCCUCCUGCCUCCUCGGCACCCCCACGUUGGGCUAGCAGGUAUUAGUCCUGCAGGAGGCGGAGCCACGAGGAAAAGCUGAAAAAUACGUCUGUGUUUAAUACAUCUCACCUUGGAAGUGUAGCCCUCUUCCCUUCACUACUGGUUAUGCCGCAAGUUUCAGCUGGGGAAGCCACUUUGGAAAGACUUAAAGAACAGGGAAAUUAGCAAGGAAAAAAGAGGUAACAGGAUGCUUGGCCCACGAUAACCUGGGAAAUCCUCACUGGAAUGACAAGGACACGGUUCACAGCUGGCUGAGACUCGAGGACCCUUCAUUCUUUGGGGAACACCAAAGAUGAAAUAUGGAAUUGGAAAAUGUGCAAGGAGGAAACAUAACAUGACUUUUUCUUGGGACAGAUAUGAAAGGGGCAAGACAAUCAAGUGAGAGAAGCAAUUUUUGGAUAGGCAGGAACUCGUGUUUGAAUGCACGGGGCUCCCACAAGUUUAACAGAACUGGAGUCUGAGCAUCCUAUAUGAAUCUUAGGGUUUUUGUUUUUUUUUUGUCAAAACAAUGGAAACCAUUCUUUCCUAAUGGGCAGCUAUAAACUGUGUGUGUGAAUUUAAAAAAUGAAGAAAACAAUUAUUUUCUACUCAAGAAUUUUAAGAUGUGGAUAAUUUUGGUGCAGAAAAUUCAACUUGAUUAAGGUCUCUAUAUUUCACUCUUUGAUUACCCAGACUUCCAUUUACUUUGAAGGCAUAUUUUUCAAGAUAGGAGGAUGGAAGAUAUUUCAUGUGACUGUUCAUUAGCUUGAUUUAAAGCUUAUAAAUAUUUAGACCAGUAGUUUUCAGGCCUCCGUCUGCACUGCUGAACCACACCGCCGUUCGGGGAGGGCCUGCCCUCCUGCACCCACAAAUCAACCUAAACCUCCUCGGCUCCUUUACUUUCUCUCCCUUGCACACAGCAGACUGUGAAGAUUUCUUUCCCUGGGAAACACCUCUUGACGCUCAUUCACUUCACUGACGCUCACCCCAAUGUCAAGGUUGGUGAGGAGGGAUGUCUCCUUCAGAAUUUCCGCAUACAGGGAAGAAAUGCUUGCUCUGGGCCUGCAUGUUGGGCCUCCUCUUGGCUCUGGGAGGUUAUACAAGUCAAACAGACCCAGCCCAUUCAGUUUUAGAAACUGUUUAAAGGAGGAAGGAGCCAGUUAAGCAUGAAGACAUCAGAUGUGCCUAAUGGCUGUUCAAUGUAACAGCACGAAACUACACUCAAAGAGAAUUGGACUCAGUAUUAGUGUCUGACUUAUGACUGUUUUGAACCAUUUAAUUCUUGCAGUAAUCUCACUUCUCAAAAAUUAUAUUCUUAAAAGAAAGCCAUGCUGAGAGGAGCAGAAGCUAACGCUGACAUAUCAGUCUUUGAUAUGGAGGUACAGUAGGCAGACAUGACUCGACCCAGAUUAAAAACAAAUGUGUAAUGGAAGUUGAAAUAUAAAGAAUUUCUCCAUUUAUCUUCUUGACUAAAGGGGGGAAAAAAACCACCGUACACAUUGUAGAUCAUUUGAGUUUUAGGCCGAUGAUUUGAAACAUUUUUAUAAUAAUUCAGUGGCUCUUUUUGAAUAUCCAGAUGUUAAUAAUGGUUCCCUGCUAUGUGAUUAGGAAUGAAUCUGCCAAGGAAAAAUGAAGGCUUUUCUCUGGGGGAAAGUUGAGUUACUUCUGUUAUUUUCCCAGGCUUCCUGGGGAAGUCUAUCAGCCUGUGAAUAAAUGAUGGGAACGGCAGGCUGGCUGGUCACUGUGGAAUUAUCAGCCUUGUUUUCUGAGUUUGACCUUUAUUAUUUACACAAUCGGCUUGAAAUAUGACAAAUGGAGUGGCUUUCCAAGGAUUUUGUUUCUUGAAAUCUAGCAGUCCUGGUAGGUUUUGAGGUUGAGAAGUCUGUGUUGUUUUAGUAAGAGUUUCUGGUGUCAUUGGUUUUGAAGGCCGCGACUUGGGCCCAAAUUAAGAAGUGAUAUGAACAACAACUGGGGGUUCCCUCGUUUGGAUUCAGUUUUUCUAAGGAAGAUACAAUUCUUUGAAAAGAUAAGAAGCAUU
Phyllostomus discolor (pale spear-nosed bat) is the source of this 2601-nucleotide long non-coding RNA. RefSeq lists it as uncharacterized. The record is from RefSeq and is a predicted model, not a curated record. The transcript is spliced from 3 exons. NCBI's taxonomy places the organism in Eukaryota, Metazoa, Chordata, Mammalia, Chiroptera, Phyllostomidae.